Molecule: long non-coding RNA, 705 nt
Organism: Cucumis sativus (cucumber)
Lineage: Eukaryota; Viridiplantae; Streptophyta; Magnoliopsida; Cucurbitales; Cucurbitaceae
Exons: 2
Source: RefSeq, a predicted model, not a curated record
CUAAUGAUAUAUUUAAAUAACUGUCUAUCAAAAUAUUUAAACAAAAGAAGAAUGAUAUUUAAAUAACUGUCUAUCAAAAAUAAACGAAACUUGCUCCCCAAGGAUUUUGAGGAACGGAAUCUUCGUUCUUCAAACUACCAAAUCCCUUUUUAUAUAUUCAAGUUCCGAGUAACGAUGCCAAAAAUCAGGACCCAUACACAUUUAUACAAACUCCCAAUUACCUCAAAUCCCCGUCGCUUUAUUCGUUGCAACUUCAUUUCAUUUGAUUUUUCUGUUUUUAGACGAAUCCAUGGACUGGUGUUCUCACUGUCUCGAGGUUUGUACAAUCCAAAUCGAUGGCAAUUUCAGAUGUUGCUCAACAUGUGGAAAAGUGCUUGCACAAAGUUCUACCGCCAAAUCACCGAACUUAAAGCUCAUAAAAAAAAAAUUUAAAAGAAACUUCAUUUCUCAUCAGAAGAAAAUUAGGAAAGAACUUCUUAAAUUAGCACAACUCUCUAAUACGACUUAGAUUUUCAUUUCCCAAUUCAACCACAUUUCCAAAUAAUUAUCUUUAUUCAUUUGUUUAUUUUUUCUUAUCGUCAUCCUUUAGCAAUUCAUUCUCGGAAGGAAAAUGGAAAGUAGUAUGUGAAUGUGUACUCAGAUGGCCACAAUUAGGCUUUAUGAAGAAGGUAAAUAAAUAAAUAUUAAUUGAAGUUCAAAGCUCUA